AAUGUUUUUAUGAAAGAAAAUUCUUUAUGCAAGAAAAUCAUAACAUACCUCUUGGGUUUAUUCGCCUGUCUGAAGAGCAUAGAGGGGUAUGUUGGGGCGGUUACAGCAUGGCAAGACCAUUUUUUCCUGAAAGAGACAUCGGGUCAGAUCCAGCCCUCGGCGGAGGGGUCCGUGCUUGCAUGGAGGGGGUGCCGGAGGGAGAUGGUGUUGCCCGCUGCGACAAAAUUGAAGAAGCACAAAAACAACUUAAUGGAACAGAAGACCAACAGAGAGAAAUCACAGAUGCUGGUACUAGAGGAAACCCAGAUACAAUUAAGGGUGUGAAAAGAAAAAAGAUUGUGACUGAAAACCAUCUAAAAAAAAUACCAAAAUCACCUUUGAGAAACCCCGCAGAAUCCAAGGUUAAACAAAAUGCAGACCUUCCACCACUAAAAGUUCUUCUGGAUGCUUCAGAACAUGCCACAGCACAGGACCAACUACCUGUGCAAAAUGGAAGUCAAUGUACCGAACAAAAUGGGGGAGUGCUUAGUAGUGAGAUAAGUGCUGAAACAACCAAAUCUGAGAUACCAAUGCAGACAAAACCUUCACUGACACAUCAGUCCUUAGACUUGAGUAAGCAGGCAGUAGAGGAUUCUGAUGUGAGUCAGUUGAGCUCACCGGAGAAGAAGUCUCUCUCCAAUUCCUUACCAAGAAAAACAAAGACUGACAGUAAUGAAUGUAUUACUUUUGUUGAUGGUAGUACAUCAUCCCCAUGUACGCGUACUGCAUUUGAUGUCUUGUUAAAAGCUAUGGAGCCUGAACUGAACACUUUAGCACAAGAGUGCCCCCAUUAUGGGGUGCAGAUAGAGAAACUGAGACCAAAUAAAAUUGUAAGCACCUCUCCUAGUCUCAUAUCCAAUACAACGAGCGUCCAAAAUCAGUCUGCUUUGUCUCAGCAUGAGUUUACAGCUGGACCUCGCUAUUUCCCAUGUACAUUGAACACUAUGCAUGUAGCAACAGCCGCCAAGAGUGGACAAACACAGGUCCAGUCGGUUUCUCAUUCACAAGACCUUGUUACUAAAACCAGCCAACAAAAUCACCAGGUUGUUAUGUGUCCAAAUUUCACAGGUUCUAUGGUGCAACAGCAGAGUCAAGAAAAUGCCAAGCUCCAGCAGAUAUACAGCAUAGCAGUAACUUCCUCUGGUGUUCACACCUCAUCUUCCACUGUAACUCAGGUUUUUGCUCAAAAUCAGUUAGUAGCUAGUUCAUCUUCACCUUUGUCAGUUAACACACCUAGUUCAACACACUUGUCUAUAGGUCCCAUGUAUAAUUCAGCCCAGAUAGCAUCAGUUGUAAACCAUGGCAUAGAACAAAUAUGUAACCUCUUGAAAGACCAGAAACCUAAAAAGCUGGGGAAGUACGUCUGUGAGUAUUGCAAUCGGGCCUGUGCCAAGCCCAGUGUUCUCCAAAAGCAUAUCCGAUCCCAUACUGGAGAGCGACCGUAUCCUUGCGUUACGUGUGGGUUUUCAUUUAAAACUAAAAGUAACUUGUACAAGCACAAAAAAUCCCAUGCACAUGCUAUCAAACUUGGCCUUGUCCUACAGCCAGAUGCUGGUGGUCUCUUCUUAUCUCAUGACUCAGACAAAGCUCUUAGCAUUCAUUCAGAUGUGGAAGAAAGUGGUGAAAGUGAAGAUGAAGGCACUGCUGAUGAAAGACAAGAUGAUCAAGAACUGGAACCUGCACAAAUAGCGAAAGUCAUUUCAAGUGCAGAAACAGUAUGGAAGGGAAGCCCUGUGCCACUAAGUAACCCAGAUUGUAUCCCAGGUGAUUCUUCAUUACACAAUACAGAACCACAAGUAAUGGCAGCUUUACCAAAAGUAGUGGUUCACACUGUAAAUGUUUCUCCGUUAAGGGCUGAUAGCCCCAAAGUAACAGAUCCAGAACCUGAGCUUGCUGCAGCACAGCGAAAAGGAGAUUUUAAAGUGACAAAUCUUCAGUCAAAUUUAACACAUACAGCCUCAUUAAAGGAAAAUGACAUAAAACAAAAUCAGAAAACAGAACUGGGCCUAUUAGAGGAGCAGCUGGGAUCUGCAGUAGGAGCUGUGCACGCUCAGCUUCAGAGACAACAGGCAACCGAUUGUUCCCAGGAGCAACAAGGAAAAUGCCUUCUGAGCCCUAGAAGUUUAGGUAGUACUGAUUCUGGUUAUUUCUCUCGUUCUGAAAGUGCUGAUCAAACAAUGAGCCCACCAGCUCCUUUCAUAAGAGGAUUACUGCCCUCUGAAAAAGAUACAAAUAAAAAUUUGCCCUGUGUACCAAGAGCAAGUGGAAUGGUAGCAUCAGUGGUACAAACAGUUUGUACUGAGAAAAAAUUGAUUCUCUCUGGCCAAAUGCGACCUCCCAUGGCAACAAAAACCCUUGAGGAGCGUAUCUCAAAAUUAAUUUCUGAUAAUGAAGCUGUUGUGGAUGACAAACAGUUAGAUAGCGUGAAACCAAGAAGAACAUCUCUUUCGAGAAGAGGAAGCAUAGAUUCACCAAAAUCCUACAUAUUUAAAGAUUCUUUCCAGUUUGAUUUAAAGCCUAUGGGAAGAAGAACUAGUUCAAGCUCUGAUAUACCAAAGUCUCCUUUCACGCCCACUGAGAAAUCAAAACAAGUUUUUCUUCUCUCUGUACCAUCCCUUGACUGUUUGCCUAUAACACGAAGUAAUUCCAUGCCUACUACCAGUUAUUCAGCAGUACCUCCAAAUGUAAUACCUCCCUCUCAUCCACUUAGAGGAAGUCAGUCAUUUGAUGAUAAAAUCGGCUCCUUAUAUGAUGAUGUUUUUGUAUCAGGACCUGCUGCUCCACUGAACCAAGGUGGACAUCCUCGGACCCUUGUUAGACAGGCAGCAAUAGAAGAUUCUUCUACUGGUGAAAACCAAGCUCUUGGAUCAGUGCGACCUGCAGAAGAAAGUUAUCUGGGAUGUAAUUUAUCAAAUGAAUCUUUAUUGCAAAGGAACAAGUCACUGGCACAGGGAUCAAAUUUAGAAAAAACUAAGAAGCUUCCUCAGGUGCGAGGAACAAUGUUUGAGUGUGAAACCUGCAGAAACAGGUAUAGGAAACUGGAAAACUUUGAAAACCACAAAAAAUUUUACUGUUCAGAGUUGCAUGGACCUAAAACUAAAGCUGCAAUCCGAGAGCCUGAACAUAAAACUGUUCCAAAUAGUACACAACCUCAAAUUCUUCACUACAGAGUCACUACUUCAACUGGCGUCUGGGAACAGACUCCCCAAAUAAGGAAAAGAAGGAAAAUGAAAAGUGUUGGAGAUGACGAUGACCCACAACAAAAUGACACAAGCACACCAUCAAAGAAUGCAGAAUGCCAAAAUAAGCCAGCAAUUUCUUCCAGUCAGUCAAAACUCAGUGCAACAGUAGUAGGUUUGCAACAGCCAAGCAACCUUCUACUUCGAAGUUCACAAAUUCAGCUUGUGGCUCGAGGCACAGAUCUGACAACAGAGCCAAAGACGUCUCCGCUCAUUGAAAAGCAGACAAGCUCAGAUAUGCAAGAAAAGGUGGAGUUGAAAAGACAAGGGUCUGGUAUUUCAGUAAUACAGCACACCAAUUCACUGAGCAGAAAUAGCUCAUUUGAGAAAUCGGAGUCAUUUGAAAGAGUAUCACCAGUUUCAUCUCAAGAGCCCAACAAGGUUGCAAAGGUUGCAGUUGCAAUCCAAGAGGACAGACACUCUCAUCUGAAUACUUCCCAGCAUCAUCAGUCACUGUCAUUAGAAGCACUUAGAGGGGAAGUGCAGGGAAGCCAAAUAGUUUCUAAUGAGAGGAACACACCACUUCAGACAUCAAGACUUGUUCGCCAGCAUAACAUCCAGGUUCCUGAAAUACUGGUCACAGAAGAACCAGACAGGGAGCAAGAAAACCAAUGCAGCGAUCAGGAAAAGACAGAAAGAUUUAAUUGGCCACAGCGCAGUGAAACACUGUCAAAAUUACCAACAGAAAAACUUCCACCGAAGAAGAAAAGAAUUCGCUUGGCUGAAAUGGAGCACUCAUCUGCUGAAUCGAGCAUUGACUCCACUCUUUCCAGAAGUCUAAGUCGAGAGAGUAGUUUGUCUCAUGCCUCCAGUUUCUCAGUGUCUCUCGAUAAAGAUGAGAUUUCGAAGGUGGACAAUCCUUCUAAAGCAGAACUUACUAGUAAGUCAUCAGAAUUCCUUAUGAUUCCCACUGGCUCUCAUGUGCUGGGCAUGCCUACCCCGCAUUACAGGGAAAUGAGGCGUGCUGCAUCGGAGCAGAUCAGCUGCACGCAGCCCUCGAUGGAGACUGUAGACUACAGGAGUAAGUCUUUUGACUGUGGAAGCAUAUCUUCAUCAAAACCUGCCUCACUCAUAGAGAUAGCUGCUCCAAAACUGUCGUCUGGAAACGGAGUUACUGGACACGUGCCUCUGCUAGAAAGAAGGAGAGGACCAUUUGUAAGACAAAUAUCUUUAAAUAUUGCUCCAGAAAAUCAUCCAGUUAAACUGACUUCUUCGUUUCAGACAGUUCAUGCUACAGAUGUGCCAUUUCACAGGCUGCAGACCUCCAGCAAAUCCUCAGUGGAGUUUCCUUCAAGUAUUCAGCAUUCUCAAACUCACUCCAGGCCUCACUCAACAAUUCAAAAUUCUAAUCCCAUUAACCUGUCUCCAGUUCAGCAGCCUCUAGAUCAUGUUUUGAAUAAUCAAAGACAGCAAUCUUCAAUGCAUCAGCCUUCCCAGACUUUUACUAAAACAUCAACCCAAGGGGAACAAGUGAAUUCGUACACACUUUCUUGUCACCCUGAUGAACAAAAGGAUUGUUUUGCUCCAAAGUAUCAACUCCAAGUUAAAACAUUACAUAUAUGUCAGCCAUACUCUUCUAAAUUGCUAAAAAAUAGUCUAUCAAGUCAGACUGUCCCAAGUCAAGCUGGAGUGGACCAGAAUGCGUCCUCCUUUGAGCUUCAGGCUAAACUGUCUGACAAUAUGUCUAAUCCUUACACUGUGCGUCCUCUAAAACAAAUUGUCCCUAAUAACUGCAGCAGUCAGAUGCAUCAGAUUCCUCCUUUUGUAGUUCCUGUCCGUAUUUACAGUAGCAUCCCAUCCUAUGGCUUUGCGACCGUUACACCCCUUCCUCAAAUUUUAGUGACUCAGGAUCACGUAAACCAAUCUAUUUGCAAAACAAAUGCUGUGAGAGUGCCAACGCUUGAAGGCAAAACUCAGCUGCCAAAAUCUCUCAAAGAUCAUCAAAGGACUUUGCCAAAUUCAUUUGAGUUUGAAAAUUCAGUACCAGAAAGUGGAAACAGAAAUUCACCUUUGUCAAGCUCUUUGAAUAUUAUUCAGAAAGUGCCAGUUAGUGGACUCUUCCCUCAACAAGAGGUUACACCUUCAAGUAAACGAAUGCUUUCCCCAGCCAACAGUUUAGAUAUUGCCAUGGAAAAACAGCAAAAGCGUGUUAAAGAUGAGAGUGGAGCUGCCUGCAUGACCGAUGACAGACCAUUACAUUCACUGAGCGUUCGAUCUAAUGACCUGGCUAAUAAGCAAAAGAAACCAGUUUUGGUGAGACAGGUUUGCACCACAGAGCCUCUCGAAAAUCACCUCCUAGAUCCUGAUGGUGUUGCACAGAAUGAAAAAAGCAGCAAAGCUAGUAUUUCAGACAUUCUGUUGCCUGAUUGUCAUUCAUCUGAAACUGGGGUUUCGGAAACCCUGAGGGAGUCACCAGAAUCUGAAGAUGUGAAGUCUUCAGCAACACCAGCGUUUGUAGUUAGAAAACCAUCUGAACUGUCUCCAGUGAGUAAUCAGAAUUCUCUUUUAAAGGCUGUAGGCAGCAGUCAAGAAAGAAGAUCCCCAAGUAGUAGUCAUGAGAGCAAGCAAAUCAAUAGCCAGAGUCAAGCAAAGCCUCUAACCACACUGGCUGCGGUGAAUACAAGAGAAAUGCAGAGGUUGUCAUUUCCAAGCCUCAAGACCUCAACGAGCUUUACCUGGUGUUUUCUCCUGAAGAGGAAACCGUUACAUCUGCUGCAAAACGAUCUGAAAAUUUCAGCCUAUUCUACGUGGACCAUUAGUCACAACAAUCCUAAUCCACUUGGUUUGUCAACAAAGGUAGCUCUUUCUCUCCUCAACUCAAAACAGAAAGUUGAAAAACCACUAUACACUCAAGCAAGAACUACUCAUCCCAGGUCUGAUGUACUGGUUUAUUCAAGCAAGUGGAAGAACAGCUUAACCAAGCGAGCAUUAAACAGAAAAAAAAUGACUGCAUGUGAAUUCAGCAAUAAGGAAAACUCUGAAUCAAGUACUGAGCAUGAUAAAGAAAAUUCUUUUAACAAAACUGAACCAAGAAGAGUGAAAAUAUUUGAUGGAGGGUACAAGUCAAAUGAAGACUAUGUGUAUGUUCGGGGGAGAGGAAGAGGGAAAUACAUCUGUGAGGAAUGUGGAAUACGUUGCAAGAAGCCCAGUAUGCUGAAGAAGCAUAUUCGCACACAUACAGAUGUCCGUCCUUACCAUUGCAAUUACUGCAACUUCUCCUUCAAAACUAAAGGUAGAGGAAAUUUGACAAAACACAUGAAGUCAAAGGCACAUAGCAAGAAAUGCAUGGAUUUGGGAGUCUCAGUAGGCUUAAUAGAUGACCAAGAUGGAGAAGAAGAAUUUGGUGAGAAACAAAGAUUUGGCUGUGACCGGUCAGGGUUUGAUGCAGAGGAGUCUGAUGGUGCAGAUGAAGAUGAAAAUGACAACGAAGAAGAUGAUGAAGACAGCCAAGCUGAGUCAGUCCUAUCCACAACCCCCUCAGUGACAGCCAGCCCCCAGCAUCACCCCUCUCGACACAGCCUGCAGGAUGCCACAAGUGCUGAUGAAGAUACCAGACUGCCAGACUGCUUUGCUGGGGUUCACACGGACUCAAUGGAUGGUCUACCAAAAGCACUGCUGACGAAGAUGACUGUCCUUAGCACGGUGCAGUCAAUUAGCAGGACCUCCAGGUCGCCAGCAGAGGUCACCCACCAGGAAGCACAUGAGGAUAAAGCCCAGGAGAGAGGAGCAGGUCCCCACAAUGCUAGUGCUGUGCUGGCAGAUGUUGCUCCUACAUCUCCAGGUAACCAGAUGUCUGUGGAUUACCCUGUUACAGAAGCAGCUAUGGGCCACUCCUUAAUAUCAACUGCAGUUCUUACAAAGAGCACGCCCUCCACCAGCUCCCCCUCAUCACCCACAGACCGGGGCGUGCGGACCACAGCGGCAUUGCCCUACACUGAAAUCCCAGAAGAGAAGCCGCCCAGGUGCCUGCCACAUGCUGCUGAGUUGAGGGCUCCCCAGACCCACCUCUUCAGCCACCUCCCGCUGCAUUCGCAGCAGCAAGCCAAGGCACCCUACAGCGUGGUACCGGUAGGGGGGCUUCAGGUGGUCCCUGCCGGCCUGGCCACCUACUCCACCUUCGUGCCAAUUCAGGCAGGGCCAGUGCAGCUCACCAUUCCCGCUGUUGGUGUAAUCCACCGAACUGCAAGCACCCUCGGCGAGGUGGGUUGUGCUGCUUCCAGCACCACCACGAAUCCCAUCGGGGUUGCCGAAGUGAACAGCGUCAUGCCAUGUAUUCCCAUCGGCCAGAUCAAUGUGCCAGGCAUCCAGGGUCUCAGCACGCCCAGCUUGCAGCCUCUUCCACCCCUCAGCAUGGAGACAGUGAACGUCUUAGGCCUGACAAAUACAAACAUAGCCCCCCAGAUGCGCCCUCCGGGAAUUACUCUGAAUGCUGUGGGCCUCCAGGUUUUGGCUACUAGCGCUUCCCCACAGGGCAACCCCAGCCCUCAGGCACACAUCCCGGGCUUGCAGAUACUGAACAUCGCCUUGCCUGCCCUCAUCCCUUCCGUCAGUCCGGUCAGCGCAGACAGGCAGGGAGCCUCUGAAACACCAGCCAUGGGCAGCAAAGCUGGUGACGUUCAGCAAGAGCCGGCUCCUGCCAGCUUUCCCAACAUCAGCCAGGUGGCCAGGGCUGCUUCUCCUCAGGUGGUUCCCAGUGGCCAGCGGUACAGUGGGAAGAGCCUUGCAGAGCCCGCCUCUGCGAGUGACUACGAAAGACUGAACGAGCCAGGGAAAGCAGAUGCUGAAAAGACUGACCUCGCAAACCAUGUCAAGACAAAGUGCAACAUCUCUUCGGUUCAGGUCAAAAGGGCUUCCCCAGCAGAGCCCUGCUUAAAGGUGAAUUCUGAUGUUUUGAGCAAGUCCCCGGUCCAUCAAACUGUCUCUCCAGAUAGACAGGUGUUUUGAAGACAUCAGGUCAAGAGAUGGAAGCAAUAUCUUGAAGAAUAGGAAUGACAAGACAAUGGAUAUGUCAUAAUGAGGAAAGUUAUGACGUGUGUCAUUUGUGUUUCAGAGCAAGAGCUCACACACCUAAUGCUGAUUUAAUUCUGCUGGACUAGGUAAGUGGCUCCCCUGUGGAUAUCCUGUUCUCCUGUGAAUCAUCAUUCCUCCUGGCUAUGUCCUCCACCUCAGUUCAAAGACCCAGGAUGUAUUAGGUAUGAAGACAUAAGACAGCGCAAACAGAUUAGCAAAGAUACACACAAAGAAAUGCAUCCCAGCUUCUCUCUUGUGUGCCUCUGAAAACUGGCAUGGUCAACACAAUACUAAGCCCUUGUUUUACAACAAACAAUAGAAAGGAAAAAAAAGAGACACUUUGGAAGUUGUUUAGUUUACCCAGAGUUUUCUACAAAUUACCUUUUCUAAGUAUUUGCAGUUUUGUACUUAAUUCUUCCUCACACUUGGAAAAUCUUUAGGCUAGAUCUACAUCUGAUGGACAAUGGCAUCUGCAAGCUUCAGCAGAGCAGCACUACCAGCAUCAGCAGAGGACUUGGUACUACUACCCAUUUAAGUAUUGAGCCUUGCCAACAAACACACAAAUUAAAGGAACAUGAAAGCGUGUGGUCUGUUUGUUUCGAGUUUAUACACUCUGUUGUAUUCUUGAUGGUUUUAUUCAAUUUUUUUAAGCUAUGCGAACAACUGAAAAAAAUCUGUACCAGGGAAAUGCUGAAACUUAAAGUUGUGAGGUCAAACUAGAUUAUUUUAAUAGUCUCUUCUACCUUCAUAAUCUUUGAACACAAUUUUGAGCUGAUAAGUCAGUUAAAGUCUCUAUUUCAGCAGUGUGUUUUACCUAGAAGAUUGCACAAAUAAUUAUUCUUUUACAAUUUUGAACCUCUUUUUUUUUUUUUUUUUUUUAAUUGAAUUUUGACCUCCCCUUUUAAAUGGGUGCCUUUUAAUCCUUAGGUUUAAGAAUAAGAGCAGUGCUUGAUUUAAGAUGGCAGACAAUGUUCUUGGACAGUGAGAGAGACUGUUUUUGUAGGAGCAUUUGGACUGUGUUUUUCUAAGUUUUUCAUUUGUACUGUGUUUUUCUAAGUUGUUCAUCCUGUUAGUGGAAAUAGCUGUAAUGAAGGACCAAAGUGCUGUCAUUUUUCUGUCAUUAAGUUCAUAUCAAAGGGUGAUAAAAUGUGCUGCUCUUACAUCUUCAAGUGGAUUGUGUCAGUCUUUUAUUACGGUAAUCAAUUGUAAUUAGCAAUGCACUGAAAAUGACUGAAAACAUCAUUUUCCACCACUGGAGAGAAAAAGGGGGUUAUUCAAUCUGGAAGGUGGUUUGUAGUUGCCAAUUAGGCAUGCCAGAGCAUAUGCUUGAACCUUCACUGUGGACAUAGUAUAACACACCCAAAUUCCUCCCUGUCAUUUCAUCCAGGACAGUGGUGAACAAGAUGAGGGCUGCUAGCUUUUUAAUGGAUGCUAUCCAGUUCCUUAAAGCAGUUCCAGCUCCAAAUUCACCCUAUUAGGAUGCACACUUACUGAGUUAAUUUUGCGUUUAGUGUUUGUGCAACAAUGACAAUUGACAGCCUCACACUGGAGUAAUGACAAGGCAAUAAAGCUGUCUGCAUGAUGAUGGUGCUAAACAUGGAAAAAUCAAGCUAGAGCCAACUUUGCCUGUCCCUGUUGAAUAUCUUGUGACUUUCUGGUACCAACAAAAAAGGGAGCCAGCUGGGAUGGGGAUGGACUUUGAUGAUUUGGAAGAUGAGGGAGAAUACUUUUAAAAUAAUUCAUUUUCUGGCCCAAACGAGAUAAAACCUAGUCUCAGUGUGGUCAGGAGCAGUCUCCUUCUGCCUGCAGGAUGGCUAGGAUUCCACAUGUGCAUUUUUAAGGCUGUAGCAUGGACAAUAUCUGAGAACAGAAUGUGGCUAUUUCUGGCACAAUGGAGGUUGCAGUUAAUGACAUGGGAAUGUGAUUUUUUUUUUUUCUUUUUUUUAACCUGGCAUCGCUCCUUCAAGCAAAUUAAUGUUUGAUACAUUUGCAUUUCUACAUAUCGUUAAAUCAGAUGCCUACUGCAGGACGUAAAGGUUAUGUCUGCUGGCAAAACUAAAUCCUACUAAUGCACUUUUCCUAACACACUGAGGGAAUUUGGAGUCUCUCCGUUUGAAGCUGACUUUGUAUUUUGACUAAUUGCUUCUGGUAACAGUUAAUAGCAUUCUGUGUGAAGGUAUUUCAUCUGCUGACAGCAGAUUGAUGAAGGGACACAGUUCACGUUUCCAAAGGGAACAUCAGGAAACACAUUACCAGCUUCAUUAAUCUGUUAAUAAUAAAAUUAAAGUACAAAUAAAAUGUGAAGAAUUGGGUUCUGUUGUGAAAGUCACUUUAACAGGAGGCUCUGAAUAAAGGUCAAAACAAACU
Oxyura jamaicensis (ruddy duck) is the source of this 10655-nucleotide RNA transcript. It is a transcript of the gene named HIVEP zinc finger 1, with no coding region annotated. NCBI's taxonomy places the organism in Eukaryota, Metazoa, Chordata, Aves, Anseriformes, Anatidae. The transcript has 11 exons. The record is from RefSeq and is a predicted model, not a curated record.